Molecule: transfer RNA, 91 nt
Filed under: Puccinia triticina 1-1 BBBD Race 1
Lineage: Eukaryota; Fungi; Basidiomycota; Pucciniomycetes; Pucciniales; Pucciniaceae
Description: Puccinia triticina tRNA PTTG_20251
Rfam family: tRNA
About the family: Transfer RNA (tRNA) molecules are approximately 80 nucleotides in length. Their secondary structure includes four short double-helical elements and three loops (D, anti-codon, and T loops).
Source: Rfam by way of RNAcentral
GGCACUGUAGCUCAGUUGGUAGAGCACAUGCUUUACACUGUAUUGUGCACACGUACGCAUGUUGUCGUCGGUUCGAGCCCGGCCAGAGUCA